RNAcentral lists this ribosomal RNA (253 nucleotides) under uncultured bacterium. Its description in RNAcentral is "partial 16S ribosomal RNA". It matches the Rfam family "Bacterial small subunit ribosomal RNA", at positions 524 to 776 of the family's 1533-position model. The record is from RNAcentral.
UACGGAGGAUGCAAGCGUUAUCCGGAAUUAUUGGGCGUAAAGCGUCCGCAGGUGGCUAAUCAAGUCUGCGGUCAAAGACCGGGGCUUAACCCUGGAAAGGCGGUGGAAACUGAAUUGCUAGAGUGUCGUAGGGGUAGAGGGAAUUCCCGGUGUAGCGGUGAAAUGCGUAGAGCUCGGGAAGAACAUCGGUGGCGAAAGCGCUCUACUGGACGACAACUGACACUCAGGGACGAAAGCUAGGGGAGCGAAUGGG